CCACGAUCGACUUUACUCCAAACUUCUUCCGAACUUCAUCAAUGUCCGAGCUUCUCCAACAGCAGGACUUCUACAGUAACUAGACUCCAUUCAAGUUUUUACGAUGGUCGACCACCUUUCAGAUUUCAUCCGAACUCCUACAAGAAUCGGACUCCGUCCGAACUCCUACAACAUAUGGAUCUCAGACGAGCUUCUGCAACGGAUGGGCUCCACC
Molecule: long non-coding RNA, 214 nt
Filed under: Elaeis guineensis (African oil palm)
Lineage: Eukaryota; Viridiplantae; Streptophyta; Magnoliopsida; Arecales; Arecaceae
Description: long non-coding RNA (EGUI_LNC028325)
Source: RNAcentral